Molecule: ribosomal RNA, 292 nt
Filed under: uncultured bacterium
Lineage: Bacteria
Description: partial 16S ribosomal RNA
Rfam family: Bacterial small subunit ribosomal RNA
Source: RNAcentral
GUGCCAGCAGCCGCGGUAAGACGAACCGUGCGAACGUUGUUCGGAAUCACUGGGCUUAAAGGGCGCGUAGGCGGGCCGCAAAGUCAGGGGUGAAAUCCUCCAGCUCAACUGGAGAACUGCCUCUGAUACUGGCGGUCUUGAGUGGGGUAGGGGCAUGCGGAACAAUGGGUGGAGCGGUGAAAUGCGUUGAUAUCCAUUGGAACUCCGGUGGCGAAAGCGGCGUGCUGGACCUCUACUGACGCUGAGGCGCGAAAGCCAGGGGAGCAAACGGGAUUAGAAACCCCGGUAGUCC